UCUAAAUAACUGGUGCCAGAAGACUCGGUAACACCAGAAACGCGAACGUUAGUCGUCUUAAACAGGCGUAAAGGGUAAGUAGGCUGCUUUAAAUGUCUAAAUUCAUAUAAGCUAAUUAAUAAAUUAUUUUUUUUUUACUAAAACUUUUUCAAUUAAAUAUAAAGAUGACUAAAUAAGCUUCGUUGUAUUUAACACACUAAAAAUGAAAUUAUUUAGUAACCAUGCAAUAAUAAUUAUUUUUUAUUAAAAUAGACUCACUUAAAGCUAGAAUCAUAAUUGAGAUAAACCAAAUAAUACUUAAGUGUAAGGGCGAUAUCUGUAAAUACUAAGUAGAAUACUAAUGGUGAAAACUUUUUAUCUAGGAAUGAUUGACGCUGAGGUACGAAAGUGAGAAUAGGGAAUAGGAUUAGAUACCCAGUUACCUCUCACCGUCAACGAUGAAUGGAAGUUGUUAAUUUACUAAAAUUAGUGACGAUGUUAACGCGAUAACCAUUCCGCCUUGAGAGUACGGUUGCAAAACUGAAACCAAAAAAAUUAGUCGGUUCUACGGAGCAAA
RNAcentral lists this ribosomal RNA (556 nucleotides) under Inosperma cervicolor. RNAcentral's name for it is "partial small subunit ribosomal RNA". It matches the Rfam family "Bacterial small subunit ribosomal RNA", at positions 493 to 929 of the family's 1533-position model. Lineage: Eukaryota; Fungi; Basidiomycota; Agaricomycetes; Agaricales; Inocybaceae. The record is from RNAcentral.